UACGUAGGGGGCAAGCGUUAUCCGGAUUUACUGGGUGUAAAGGGAGCGUAGACGGCAGAGCAAGUCUGAAGUGAAAGCCCGCGGCCCAACUGCGGGACUGCUUUGGAAACUGCCCGGCUAGAGUGCUGGAGAGGUAAGCGGAAUUCCUAGUGUAGCGGUGAAAUGCGUAGGUAUUAGGAGGAACACCAGUGGCGAAGGCGGCUUACUGGACAGUAACUGACGUUGAGGCUCGAAAGCGUGGGGAGCAAACAGG
Molecule: ribosomal RNA, 253 nt
Filed under: uncultured bacterium
Lineage: Bacteria
Description: partial 16S ribosomal RNA
Rfam family: Bacterial small subunit ribosomal RNA
Source: RNAcentral